AUUGAACGCUGGCGGCAGGCUUAACACAUGCAAGUCGAGCGGGGGAAGGUAGCUUGCUACUGGACCUAGCGGCGGACGGGUGAGUAAUGCUUAGGAAUCUGCCUAUUAGUGGGGGACAACAUCUCGAAAGGGAUGCUAAUACCGCAUACGUCCUACGGGAGAAAGCAGGGGAUCUUCGGACCUUGCGCUAAUAGAUGAGCCUAAGUCGGAUUAGCUAGUUGGGGGGGUAAAGGCCUACCAAGGCGACGAUCUGUAGCGGGUCUGAGAGGAUGAUCCGCCAAACUGGGACUGGGACACGGCCCAGAAUCCUACGGGAGGCGGCAGUGGGGAAUAUUGGACAAUGGGGGGAACCCUGAUCUAGCCAUGCCGCGUGUGUGAAGAAGGCCUUAUGGUUGUAAAGCACUUUAAGCGAGGAGGAGGCUACUCUAGUUAAUACCUAGGGAUAGUGGACGUUACUCGCAGAAUAAGCACCGGCUAACUCUGUGCCAGCCGCCGCCGUAA
Molecule: ribosomal RNA, 501 nt
Filed under: uncultured bacterium
Lineage: Bacteria
Description: partial 16S ribosomal RNA
Rfam family: Bacterial small subunit ribosomal RNA
Source: RNAcentral